This 468-nucleotide ribosomal RNA is filed under the name uncultured bacterium. Its description in RNAcentral is "partial 16S ribosomal RNA". It matches the Rfam family "Bacterial small subunit ribosomal RNA", at positions 28 to 507 of the family's 1533-position model. The record is from RNAcentral.
GACGAACGCUGGCGGCGUGCUUAACACAUGCAAGUCGAACGGAAAGGCCCUGCUUUUGUGGGGUGCUCGAGUGGCGAACGGGUGAGUAACACGUGAGUAACCUGCCCUUGACUUUGGGAUAACUUCAGGAAACUGGGGCUAAUACCGGAUAGGAGCUCCUGCUGCAUGGUGGGGGUUGGAAAGUUUCGGCGGUUGGGGAUGGACUCGCGGCUUAUCAGCUUGUUGGUGGGGUAGUGGCUUACCAAGGCUUUGACGGGUAGCCGGCCUGAGAGGGUGACCGGCGACAUUGGGACUGGGAUACGGCCCAGACUCCUACGGGAGGCAGCAGUGGGGAAUAUUGCACAAUGGGCGGAAGCCGGAUGCAGCCACGCCGCGUGCGGGAUGACGGCCUUCGGGUUGUAAACCGCUUUCGCCUGUGACGAAGCGUGAGUGACGGUAAUGGGUAAAGAAGCACCGGCUAACUACGUG